CUCCUGUGCCGGGCGAGCCUGUGAGACCCCCGACAGUCGGGGACGCUCACCACCCCACCGCCCCCCCAGCCACUCUGACAAGUCACGGAGGUUGCUGGCCAUCUCCCCAUUGCCGAGACUGGCCGGCCCAACUGCGAAAGGCGCCUUGUCCUGGCAGGGACGCCACGGGAAGGGCGUCCUGACUCAGCGGCCCAUGCUUCCUGCUUCUGCUUCUUUAGUGCACUGUACAUUCAAGGCCGAGUCACUUCUUCCCCUGAGACCACUCUCGCUAGGUCCCUGGCCUCACCUUGAACUCUCAGAAUCAAGAGAUCCUCCUGCCUCUGCAGCCUGGAAGCUGGAGCACUAUGGUAUUUUUGUGACUACAGUGCAAUGGACUGAAGGGAAUGCCUGGGGCCCCGGCCGCCCCGCCCCCUCACCCGGAAGCGCCUGCGCAGCAGGCUGUUGAGCGCGAAGUCAUCCUUCCAGACGUUCUGCGCCUCCUGCAGGUGGCUGAGCGUGGGCAGCGCCCGCUGCAGCGUCCCGCGGUCGGCCUCACCGUGCUCCAGGCGGAACAUGGCGUCGGUCUCCA
Molecule: long non-coding RNA, 568 nt
Organism: Cavia porcellus (domestic guinea pig)
Lineage: Eukaryota; Metazoa; Chordata; Mammalia; Rodentia; Caviidae
Exons: 2
Source: RefSeq, a predicted model, not a curated record